Molecule: long non-coding RNA, 1749 nt
Organism: Eriocheir sinensis (Chinese mitten crab)
Lineage: Eukaryota; Metazoa; Arthropoda; Malacostraca; Decapoda; Varunidae
Exons: 3
Source: RefSeq, a predicted model, not a curated record
CCUUUACAAGAGGGAUUGAAGGAAACAGGAGACAGAGCGAGCUGCCUGUCACCAUGGACUCAUUCAGUGAUGUCUUCAAACUAGGCAUCAUGUCAGUAUUGCCUGCCAGCAAACUGUUGAUGUGUUGUGGCGGUGCUGGUGGCAUGACCCUGUGAACAGACGCCCAGGGCAGGACGCUGGCGAUGAUUACGCCACUUGACAGCUCUGCCCAGGAACUUCCCCCACAAGGAAACUGAAUUUAAGGACUAGGAAGUCUGGCGGACCACCAUCUGAGAAACCAACAGAUGUGCAGGAUUAAGAAGGAGGAAAAUGAAGAGGCAGCAACACCCAAAGCCUAAUCUGCCAAUAAAAUUACCUAUCAUGAAUAUGGAGGGACUUUCAGAGCCGAGAUUAAUCUGUAAGCCACCUGAAAGUCCACAAGUAUAAUCACUGGACUAAGACAAUCAUCCUUAACUGCAUGAGAUUUUGAUGAUUACAGUACCCUCUCGAGUUUCGCACUCGCUUCGUUCCAAAGGUAUAGCGCUAAACUCAAGGUAUUGAAAAAGCGCUUAUCUGUUCCGACCCGUGGAGGGUUUUUUUUUGUUACAUGUGGGCUAGGGCGCCGGUAGACUACCCAUCUGGGCCUGGUGGUCGGCCUCAAGCCCGUCAUGGCACAGGCACCUGUUCAUGAUGGCGCCAUUAUAACUGGCUCAUGCUGCCCCCCGGAGCUCACUUUAUUUCCUCCUUUACUCCCGUGUUAUCUCAAAAUAUGUACCUUGGAAAAAGGAAGAAAACAAGAAGAGAGAACGGGUCGGUUUAAAGCCACAGAUGAAGCCUUACGAUUGGCUGAGCUCUGAAAACACGCUUGUGAUUUGCUGGAAGUCCGAUGACGUCAUCGCCGGCAUUCACCCGGUCAGCGGCCUUGCUGCCUUGAAGCAGUGUCACACUGGCCGUUUUCCUCUAACCGUUGUGGCUACUGGCAACGCCCGUGCGCCCAUCCAGGAGCGAGUUGUUGGUUGUCCAUAACCUGGUGUCACACUGGGCCCUAGCUGGCGCCAACUCGGUGGGAAAAAAAAAGCCGUGUGACACCAGCUUACGAAUAACCGUGAUCUCGCUCCCGGUUGGGCACACGGGCGUUGCCCAUAGCCCCAACGGUUGGACGAAAACGGCCAUUGUGACACCGACUUAAGGCAGUGAAACCGUUGAUAGGGUGAGCGCAGGCAAUGAUGUCAUCGGACUCCCAGCGAAUCACAAGCGUGUUUUCAGAAAUGUCAGCCAAUCGUAAGGCAGCUGCCUUCAACUGCAGCUUCAAAACGACCUGUUUUCUCUCUCUCUCUCUCACCAUAGCCACAAUGUUUGGAGGGAAACGUCCAGUGUGAUACUACCUUUAAAGGUAGCAUGCGUGACGCCGAUGGUAAGUAGACGUGACCCGUACAUGUCAAAGCAGUGCGAAACUCGGGGUAAUAAUGCGCGAAAGUCGGGAUGGUAAGAAUUUAGGACUAACCACGAAACUCGUGGAUCGUGAAACUUGGAUAGUGUGAAACUCGAGAGGGUACUGUAGAUCUAUAGGCCAUUUUACUUUGUGAGCUGCAUUAACUAAUUCAUGAUACAAUGCAGGUUACAGUAUAGGUUUCCCUCGCUAUUCAAUGGUUCGAAAUCAGAUAUUUCGCUUAUACGAUACUUAAGAAUUGAUACCGCUCGCUCGUUUUUCAAUGUAUGCGCUCGGUUAACCAAUCGCUGAAAUGCCAGAGUUUUCUCUUUACAACACUC